CACCGGAAGAGGAAGAUGGCGGCCACCUUGGUAGCUGCUUGGGGAGUGGGGCCGGCACCGGCCUGGGGGCCGGAGGCCAUCACUCCAGACUGGGAAAAUGCUGAAGUUUCCACGGGGACCACUAUCAUGGCCGUCCAAUUUGAAGGGGCGCGGUAUUGGGGGCGGAUAACAACCGCUCCAUAACAACCACUGGGUCAUACAUCGCCAAUCGAGUGACUGACAAGCUGACUCCUAUUCAUGAUGGAAUUUUCUGCUGCCGCUCAGGCUCAGCAGCUGAUACCCAAGCUGUAGCUGAUGCUGUCACUUACCAGCUUGGCUUCCACAGCACUGAACUGAAUGAGCCUCCACUGGUGCACACAGCAGCCAGCCUCUUGAAAGAGAUGUGUUACAGGUACCGGGAAGACCUGAUGGCGGGAAUUAUUGUUGCUGGCUGGGAUCCUCAAGAAGGAGGGCAGGGGUAUCCAGUGCCCAUGGUGGGUAUGACGGUACAGCAGUCCUUUGCCAUCGGAGGCUCUGUGAGCUCCUGUAUCUAUGGCUAUGUCGAUGCUACCUACCGGGAAGGCAGGACCAAGGAAGAGUGUCAGCAACUCACUGCCAAUGCUCUGGCUUUGGCCAUGGAGCGGAUGGCUCCAGUGGAGGGGUGAUCCGCCUGGCAGCCAUUGCAGAGCCAGGGGUAGAGCGGCAGGCACUUUUGGGAGACCAGAUACCCAAAUUCACCAUUGCCACUUUACCACCCCCUUGAAUCCUGGGAUUGUAGAAUGCAGUAAGAGAUACCCCAUUACCAAUACAAGAUUUAAUAAAGUUUGUCAAAAAGAAAAAA
Microcebus murinus (gray mouse lemur) is the source of this 820-nucleotide non-coding RNA. The record is from RefSeq and is a predicted model, not a curated record. Lineage: Eukaryota; Metazoa; Chordata; Mammalia; Primates; Cheirogaleidae.